GCAAGUCGAACGGAAGUUUAAGCAAUUAAACUUUAGUGGCGAACGGGUGAGUAACGCGUAAGCAAUCUGCCCCUAAGACGAGGAUAACAGUUGGAAACGACUGCUAAGACUGGAUAGGAGACAAGAAGGCAUCUUCUUGUUUUUAAAAGACCUAGCAAUAGGUAUGCUUAGGGAGGAGCUUGCGUCACAUUAGUUAGUUGGUGGGGUAAAGGCCUACCAAGACUAUGAUGUGUAGCCGGGCUGAGAGGUUGAACGGCCACAUUGGGACUGAGACACGGCCCAAACUCCUACGGGAGGCAGCAGUAGGGAAUUUUCGGCAAUGGAGGAAACUCUGACCGAGCAACGCCGCGUGAACGAUGAAGUAUUUCGGUACGUAAAGUUCUUUUAUUAGGGAAGAAUAAAUGAUGGAAAAAUCAUUCUGACGGUACCUAAUGAAUAAGCCCCGGCUAACUAUGUGCCAGCAGCCGCGGUAAUACAUAGGGGGCAAGCGUUAUCCGGAAUUAUUGGGCGUAAAGGGUGCGUAGGCGGUUAAAUAAGUUUAUGGUCUAAGUGCAAUGCUCAACAUUGUGAUGCUAUAAAAACUGUUUAGCUAGAGUAAGAUAGAGGCAAGUGGAAUUCCAUGUGUAGUGGUAAAAUGCGUAAAUAUAUGGAGGAACACCAGUAGCGAAGGCGGCUUGCUGGGUCUUUACUGACGCUGAGGCACGAAAGCGUGGGGAGCAAACAGGAUUAGAUACCCUGGUAGUCCACGCCGUAAACGAUGAGUACUAAACGUUGGGUAAAACCAGUGUUGAAGUUAACACAUUAAGUACUCCGCCUGAGUAGUACGUACGCAAGUAUGAAACUUAAAGGAAUUGACGGGACUCCGCACAAGCGGUGGAUCAUGUUGUUUAAUUCGAAGGUACCCGAAAAACCUCACCAGGUCUUGACAUGCUUCUGCAAAGCUGUAGAAACACAGUGGAGGUUAUCAGUUGCACAGGUGGUGCAUGGUUGUCGUCAGCUCGUGUCGUGAGAUGUUGGGUUAAGUCCCGCAACGAGCGCAACCCUUAUUGUUAGUUACCAGCACGUAAUGGUGGGGACUUUAGCAAGACUGCCAGUGAUAAAUUGGAGGAAGGUGGGGACGACGUCAAAUCAUCAUGCCCCUUAUGACCUGGGCUACAAACGUGAUACAAUGGCUGUUACAAAGGGUAGCUGAAGCGCAAGUUUUUGGCGAAUCUCAAAAAAACAGUCUCAGUUCGGAUUGAAGUCUGCAACUCGACUUCAUGAAGUUGGAAUCGCUAGUAAUCGCGAAUCAGCAUGUCGCGGUGAAUACGUUCUCGGGGUUUGUACACACCGCCCGUCAAACCACGAAAGUUGGCAAUACCCAAAGCCGGUGGCCUAACUUCGCAAGAAGAGGGAACCGUCUAAGGUAGGGUCGAUGAUUGGGGUUAAG
RNAcentral lists this ribosomal RNA (1429 nucleotides) under Mulberry dwarf phytoplasma. RNAcentral describes it as "bacterial SSU rRNA". It matches the Rfam family "Bacterial small subunit ribosomal RNA". The record is from RNAcentral. Lineage: Bacteria; Bacillati; Mycoplasmatota; Mollicutes; Acholeplasmatales; Acholeplasmataceae.